RNAcentral lists this ribosomal RNA (254 nucleotides) under uncultured bacterium. RNAcentral's name for it is "partial 16S ribosomal RNA". It matches the Rfam family "Bacterial small subunit ribosomal RNA", at positions 524 to 776 of the family's 1533-position model. The record is from RNAcentral.
CACGUAGGGGGCAAGCGUUGUCCGGAUUUAUUGGGCGUAAAGAGCUCGUAGGCGGCUCAGUAAGUCGGGUGUGAAACCUCCAGGCUCAACCUGGAGACGCCACCCGAUACUGCUGUGGCUUGAGUCCGGUAGGGGAGCGUGGAAUUCCUGGUGUAGCGGUGAAAUGCGCAGAUAUCAGGAGGAACACCAGCGGCGAAGGCGGCGCUCUGGGCCGGUACUGACGCUGAGGAGCGAAAGCGUGGGUAGCAAACAGG